Molecule: ribosomal RNA, 596 nt
Filed under: Ogataea polymorpha
Lineage: Eukaryota; Fungi; Ascomycota; Pichiomycetes; Pichiales; Pichiaceae
Description: partial large subunit ribosomal RNA
Rfam family: Eukaryotic large subunit ribosomal RNA
Source: RNAcentral
AUAUCAAUAAGCGGAGGAAAAGAAACCAACAGGGAUUGCCUUAGUAGCGGCGAGUGAAGCGGCAAGAGCUCAAAUUUGAAAUCUGGUACCUUCGGUGCCCGAGUUGUAAUUUGAAGAAAGCUAUCUUGGAGGUGGCCUUUGUCUAUGUUCCUUGGAACAGGACGUCAUGGAGGGUGAGAAUCCCGUGUGAUGAGGUGUCCAUUUCCGUGUAAGAUGCUUUCGAAGAGUCGAGUUGUUUGGGAAUGCAGCUCAAAGUGGGUGGUAAAUUCCAUCUAAAGCUAAAUAUUGGCGAGAGACCGAUAGCGAACAAGUACUGUGAAGGAAAGAUGAAAAGAACUUUGAAAAGAGAGUGAAAAAGUACGUGAAAUUGUUGAAAGGGAAGGGUAUUUGAUCAGACUUGGUAUUUAGCUAUCAUCGCUCCUUGUGGGUGGUGCUCUAGCUUUUUACUGGGCCAGCAUCAGUUUUGGUGGCAAGAUAAUGACAGUUGAAUGUGGCUCCUCGGAGUGUUAUAGCUUCUGUUGAUGUUGCCUACCGAGACUGAGGUCUGCGGCUUUUGCCUAGGAUGCUGGCGUAAUGAUCCAAUACCGCCCGUCUUG